This 72-nucleotide transfer RNA is filed under the name Patescibacteria group bacterium. RNAcentral describes it as "tRNA-Arg". It matches the Rfam family "tRNA". Rfam says of the family: Transfer RNA (tRNA) molecules are approximately 80 nucleotides in length. Their secondary structure includes four short double-helical elements and three loops (D, anti-codon, and T loops). The record is from RNAcentral.
GCUUCCGUCGUUCAACGGACAGGAUAUCUCCCUCCGAAGGAGAUGAUACUGGUUCGACUCCAGUCGGAAGCA